RNAcentral lists this ribosomal RNA (345 nucleotides) under uncultured bacterium. RNAcentral describes it as "bacterial SSU rRNA". It matches the Rfam family "Bacterial small subunit ribosomal RNA", at positions 32 to 365 of the family's 1533-position model. The record is from RNAcentral.
AAUCAACGCUGGCGGCGUGCCUAACACAUGCAAGUCGAACGCGAGAGGGGCUUCGGCCCUGAUUGAGUGGCAAACGGGUGAGUAACGCGUGGGUGACCUACCUUCGAGUGGGGGAUAACGUUCCGAAAGGGACGCUAAUACCGCAUAACAUCCUGUCUUUGGACAGAUGGAGAUCAAAGCCGGGAUCGUAAGACCUGGCGCUUGAGGAGGGGCCCGCGUCCGAUUAGCUAGNGGUGGGGUAAUGGCCCACCAAGGCAACGAUCGGUAGCCGGCUGAGAGGGCGGACGGCCACACUGGGACUGAGACACGGCCCAGACUCCUACGGGAGCAGCAGUGGGAAUUGCU